GACGAACGCUGGCGGCGUGCCUAAUACAUGCAAGUAGAACGCUGAAGAGAGGAGCUUACUCUUCUUGGGUGAGUUGCGAACGGGUGAGUAACGCGUAGGUAACCUGCCUUGUAGCGGGGGAUAACUAUUGGAAACGAUAGCUAAUACCGCAUAACAAUGGAUGACACAUGUCAUUUAUUUGAAAGGGGCAAUUGCUCCACUACAAGAUGGACCUGCGUUGUAUUAGCUAGUAGGUGAGGUAAUGGCUCACCUAGGCGACGAUACAUAGCCGACCUGAGAGGGUGAUCGGCCACACUGGGACUGAGACACGGCCCAGACUCCUACGGGAGGCAGCAGUAGGGAAUCUUCGGCAAUGGGGGCAACCCUGACCGAGCAACGCCGCGUGAGUGAAGAAGGUUUUCGGAUCGUAAAGCUCUGUUGUAAGUCAAGAACGGGUGUGAGAGUGGAAAGUUCACACUGUGACGGUAGCUUACCAGAAAGGGACGGCUAACUACGUG
RNAcentral lists this ribosomal RNA (497 nucleotides) under uncultured bacterium. RNAcentral's name for it is "partial 16S ribosomal RNA". It matches the Rfam family "Bacterial small subunit ribosomal RNA", at positions 28 to 507 of the family's 1533-position model. The record is from RNAcentral.